Long non-coding RNA from Bactrocera neohumeralis, 1425 nucleotides. RefSeq lists it as uncharacterized. The transcript has 3 exons. NCBI's taxonomy places the organism in Eukaryota, Metazoa, Arthropoda, Insecta, Diptera, Tephritidae. The record is from RefSeq and is a predicted model, not a curated record.
UUAGUAACGCCUUUGUAGGCCUCCAAUUGAAACUUAUACCCGCCAGGGACAUUCCGAAGAGACCUCGUGCUCGCAUUUGGCUACCCCCUCUAGAGGAGCCAGGAAAAAAACUCCUGAGGUGCAUUAAGCUGUAGAACAAAUCUAUACCUAGUAUAGAUGAGUCGCAGCUAAUCAAGGAGGAAAAACCGAAUAAAGCAAGCAAGCCAAUACUAGUGGCCAUUUGUGAUGAGUCCAUUGAGGCUCUGAAGAAGACUGACUACAAAAUCAGCUUCGGAAUGCCUUGCGGAUUACUAAAAAUCUUCCAAGGCGACAAAGCGGCUGACGAAGAGGACACGGAAGAGGUCGCGACGCCAGCCAGUUACUAAAGAAUGUGGACAACGAAGAAACCCGAGAUGCUCAAUAACAUAAGAUGCGUACAGAUAAACCUGCAGCACUCGAAUAGUGCUACAGCGAAUCUGACAACCCUCGUGAACGAGGGGGGCACAGACAUCAGCCUAGUACAGGAGCCCUGGGUCAAUGAAGCUACCCUUAAAGGGCUAAACAGCAGCAACCAUAACCUGUUUUACACACGGAACAGAGCACAGCAGAGAUCGCAGUGGUAAAGGUGGAACAGAAGGAAAAGCCCUUCUUCUUGGUCUCGGCCUAAUUGGCCCAUGACGAAGACAUACCACCGGCCCCGCUCACCAGCUAGUAGAGCAGAACAGGAAGGAUGAUGUCGUAAUAGGGUGUGAUGCAAACGCAAGGCACACCGUAUGGGGUAGCUCCAGUAUAAACACCAGAGCAUUUUCGCUUUCUGCAACCCGUUUUGACCUCUCGCCACCCUUAUUCACCAGAGGUGGCCAUGAUGUUUUAUUGUGAACGUACACUUGAGGGGUAGGUUAAGGACUGUGAAUGGCUCUUUUUUCUAUUGUGAAUGGGAAUUUCCCUACUCCUCUAUACCAUGGUGCCACUAGCACAGUUGCUUAACAAAAAUGAGGACUGCAAUGAAGCUCUCCAAAUAAAUCAAACUCUUUUAGCAUAAAUUGAUACAAACAGUUUCAUGUGUAUUGAUGACAUCGAGUAAUGGAAUGAAGAUGAGUUUGAAGACGGAACUGGUUAUGACCUAAGUAGCGGUGCUGAAUUUUCUGAUAGCAGUGAAGAUGACGUUGUUGACGACACACCAGUUAUUUCAAAUGCUAUAGCUAUUGAAAGCGUUAACAAUUUAAUAAAUUGGUGCAACAAGAGUGAAUUGUCUUCCAAUAAGCACAUGGCCAAUCUUUUGGCCCUCCGUAACGAUAUUGUUAUAUCGGAUUUAAAGAAACCAAAAAAACAAACAAAUAUUACUGAUUAUAUGUCAAACAAAAAUUAAUUUUGAACUGAGCCCUUAUCCAAAAUUUUUAAUUAAUUUCUGAAAUUUUAAGUUGUUUUUUUCAUAAUUGUUAUGUA